GACGAACGCUGGCGGCGUGCUUAACACAUGCAAGUCGAACGGAAAGGCCCUGCUUUUGUGGGGUGCUCGAGUGGCGAACGGGUGAGUAACACGUGAGUAACCUGCCCUUGACUUUGGGAUAACUUCAGGAAACUGGGGCUAAUACCGGAUAGGAGCUCCUGCUGCAUGGUGGGGGUUGGAAAGUUUCGGCGGUUGGGGAUGGACUCGCGGCUUAUCAGCUUGUUGGUGGGGUAGUGGCUUACCAAGGCUUUGACGGGUAGCCGGCCUGAGAGGGUGACCGGGCACAUGGGGACAGAGAUACGGCCCAGACGCCUACGGGCGGCAGCGGGGGGGAAUGUGGCACAAGGGGCGGGGGCCUGAUGCAGCAACGCCGCGGGCGGGAUGACGGCGUUCGGGUUGUAAACCGCUUUCGCCUGUGACGAAGCGUGAGGGACGGGAAUGGGGAAAGAAGCACCGCCUAACUACGG
Molecule: ribosomal RNA, 467 nt
Filed under: uncultured bacterium
Lineage: Bacteria
Description: partial 16S ribosomal RNA
Rfam family: Bacterial small subunit ribosomal RNA
Source: RNAcentral